AGACAGAUACUCUUACUAUCUCCCUUUUACAUGUGAGAUAACUGCAUCUUAGAGAAACUUAGUAACCUGCCAAGGUCACACAGUAAGAAAGUGUCCAAGCCAGGAUGCAGACCCAAGUAUGUCUGACUCCAGAUCCCAUUCUCUUUUACCCCCAUGAGAGGCUGAGAGGUUGGUAGAUGGAGAUGAGCUUGGGUGGGUGUAGAUAGGGCACAGUAGUAGGUAUGAAAGAGAAUAUCAUGGGGCAAAAAACCUGGUAUCAACUUUUGGUGACAAUUUGAAACUAUAUCGCAAGUAAUUUGUGCUACUAAUUAUUUGUUAUUACUAAUAAUGCAAUGUUUGUGAAUGACUUACAUGAAGAUAAAUUAGAGCAGAUUUUACUAUCACUCUUAAUAUUACUCUUACUUGGAUUCUGCUAUGUUCACUUUAAGUUAGAAAGAAAGUACUGGAUUUACAGAUGGGUGUUCCUUUGAAGGACUGGAGUUCCAGAUGAAGUGAUCCAAGAGGUACAUUGACUAUCAUGGAAUUUAAGUGGAAACCAGGCCCUAUUUACCAGAUUGCUCACUGUGUGACACGCAUUGAGCUAAACAAGAUGUAUCCACCUAAAACUCCCAGUUGACCUGAAAGAUGGGAGAGAUUUGAGGAUAUCUAAAUGCAGACGUGAAAGAACCUGAAGAAAUGAAAAGUUUGAGAAGUGGGAGCGAGAGAAGAUUCUGCUGUAGUAAUAACCUCCUGAGGAAGAAGAGCAAAUGUGUAUGGAGAGUCUACUGCCCAAGAGACAUACUGAAAAAUAGAAGAUGGUCCCUGACUGCCACAAAAUACGGGGCCAAGGUCUUCUAUAGCCUUACUGAUUUCUUGGAUACUUGUUCUGUCAGCUAUCAGGAGAGGAAUUUACCAGAGAAUGUGCUCCACCAAAGUAAGUGAAUAAACCAAGAAAGAAGAAGAUACAGGAUGUAUGAGCCAGAGGAUCCGAUUUAGAACAGCACUAAUGGACAAUCCUCAAAUGAUACAGCUGUGCAGCCAUCCUGGAGAAGCAACCUAUGCGGAGAGAAGCCCCAGGCUGGCGGCUCUGGGAGGGCGGAGUGCGCUUGACAGAGAGGGAGUACAUGAUAUAUUUACAAGACAGCCAAAGACGAUUCACCUUUAUAUAAUUGAAGACUGUGAAAAAACAAAAACAAAACAAUGAAGUAAAACUAGUACAUAAAAAUUAUAUUUCAAGAAAAAAAUCUGCUGAAAUAAAACCUGCAUUUACAUGUUGAAAAGUACACACCAUGACUUUGGGGGAAUAUCUGUGACAGUGACAGUGAACUCUAGACAUGUCCUAAUAAAACGAUUAGAUCUUGAAGAUAAAGGACAAAAUCUGGGCCUCCAGGUGAAAAACCAAAAUCACUUACAGAAGGAAGAAUAUUAGGGCUUCAUCAGACUUCUCAACAACCACAUUCAAUGCAGAAAGUUGCUGAGGAAAUUCUGUAGGAUACAAAAGGAAAUAAGUAUGAGCCAAUGAUGGCAUAACCAACCAAUCUAUUCUUCAAGUAUCAAGGAUACAUAAAAUCUGUUUUGAAUAUGCAAGUACUUGUUGGCUUAUCCUGUGUAAUCUACUAGAAGAUAAGCUUCAGCCAACCAAGUGAUGAUUGGAGAAACAAAGGCCAAAGAAUUGAUGAUUUUAUUUAUUUAUUCAUGAGAGACAGAGAGAGAGAGAGAGGCAGAGGGAGAAGCAGGCUCCCAAGGAGCAGGAAGCCCACUGCGGGACUCAAUCCCACGACCCUGAGAUCAUGACCUGAGCCGAAGGCAGAUGCUUAACCAUCUGAGCCACCCAGGCGCCCUAUUAAUACCAUUUUCCACAAAAAGAAGCAGGACUCCUUGGGAUUUCAUUUGUUUAUUUGAGAGAGCGUGAGCAGAGGGAGAGGGAGAAGCAGACUCCCCGCUGAGCAGAGAGCCUGAUGUGGGGCUCAAUCCCAGGACCCUUGAAUCAUGACCUGAGCCGAAGGCAGACACUUAACUGACUGAGCCACCCAGGCACCUCAGGGAGUAUGACAUCUUAACAAUAUUAAGGCUUCCAAUCCAUGAACAUAGGAUAUCUUUCCAUUUAUUUAAGUGUUCUUUAAUUUCUUUCAACAAUGUUUUAUAGUUUUCAGUGUUUUGGUUUUUUUUUUAAACUUUUUAAGAUUUUAUUUAUUUAUUUGAGAGAGAGAUACAGCGGGAGAGGGAGCACAAGAUGGGGGAGUGGGAGAGGGAGAAGCAGACUCCCUGCUGAGCAGGGAGCCUGACGCAGGGCUCCAUCCCGGGAUGCAGGGAUCAUGACCUGAGCCAAAGGCAGAUGUUUAAUGGCCGAGCCACCCAGACACCCCUAGUUUUUAGUGUUUAAGUCCCAUUCCUUUUUUUGUCUCAUUCCUUUGUUUUCCCUAAGUAUUUUGGGUUUUUUGGUGCUAUUGUAAAUUGAUUGUUUUUAUAAUUUCAUUUCAGAUUCUUAUUGCUAGUUUCAGUUGAUAUUUGUAUAUUGAUCCUGUAUCUUGUAACCUUGGUACACUCGCUUAUUUGUGCUAAAAGCUUUUUAGUAGAUUCCUUAGAGUUUUACAUAUAAGAUCAUGUCAUUUAUGAAGAUACAGUUUCACUUCUUCCUUUCCAAGCUGUUACAACCGUUUAGCUCUUCUUUGUUUUGUUUUUGUUAUUCUCUUCCUGUCCCCUCCUUCUGAUUAUUUGAUUAUCUUUUUAUAUUCUUAUUUUAAUUUUACUAUUGAAUUUGUAGUUAUUCUUUUUUUAAAUUGAGGUAUAAUUUACAUAUAACAUUAUAUUAG
Mirounga angustirostris (Northern elephant seal) is the source of this 2792-nucleotide long non-coding RNA. RefSeq lists it as uncharacterized. The transcript is spliced from 7 exons. The record is from RefSeq and is a predicted model, not a curated record. NCBI's taxonomy places the organism in Eukaryota, Metazoa, Chordata, Mammalia, Carnivora, Phocidae.